Molecule: ribosomal RNA, 1407 nt
Filed under: Clostridioides difficile
Lineage: Bacteria; Bacillati; Bacillota; Clostridia; Peptostreptococcales; Peptostreptococcaceae
Description: bacterial LSU rRNA
Rfam family: Bacterial large subunit ribosomal RNA
Source: RNAcentral
UUAUGUGUGCCCAAGCAUUGAGGCAGUCAAAGUAGGCAAAUCCGCUUUGAUAAUGCUGGGAUGUGAUGGGGAGCGAAAUUUAGUAGCGAAGUAGCUGAUUUCACACUGUCAAGAAAAGUCUCUAUCGAGGUUAAAGGUACCCGUACCGCAAACCGACACAGGUGGGUGAGGAGAGUAUCCUAAGGCCAGCGAGAGAACUGUUGUUAAGGAACUCGGCAAAAUGACCCCGUAACUUAGGGAUAAGGGGUGCCACCAUCAGGUGGCCGCAGAGAAUAGGCCCAAGCGACUGUUUACCAAAAACAUAGGUUUCUGCUAAGUCGCAAGACGAUGUAUAGGAGCUGACGCCUGCCCGGUGCUGGAAGGUUAAGGGGAUCUGUUAGAGCAAUCGAAGCAGUGAACUUAAGCCCCAGUAAACGGCGGCCGUAACUAUAACGGUCCUAAGGUAGCGAAAUUCCUUGUCGGGUAAGUUCCGACCCGCACGAAAGGCGUAACGAUUUGGGCACUGUCUCAACAACAGACUCGGUGAAAUUGUAAUUCCGGUGAAGAUGCCGGAUACCUGCGACAGGACGGAAAGACCCCAUGGAGCUUUACUGUAGCUUGACAUUGGGUCUUGGUACUACAUGUACAGGAUAGGUGGGAGGCUUUGAAACCAGGACGCCAGUUUUGGCGGAGCCAUCCUUGGGAUACCACCCUUGUAGUACUGGGACUCUAACCAUAGGCCAUGAAUCUGGUCUUGGGACACUGUCAGGUGGGCAGUUUGACUGGGGCGGUCGCCUCCCAAAAGGUAACGGAGGCGCUCAAAGGUUCUCUCAGUACGGUCGGAAAUCGUACGUAGAGUGUAAAGGCAAAAGAGAGCUUGAUUGCAAGACAUACAGGUCGAGCAAGGAUGAAAAUCGGACUUAGUGAUCCGGUGGUUCUGCGUGGAAGGGCCAUCGCUCAACGGAUAAAAGCUACCCUGGGGAUAACAGGCUUAUCUCCCCCAAGAGUCCACAUCGACGGGGAGGUUUGGCACCUCGAUGUCGGCUCAUCACAUCCUGGGGCUGUAGUAGGUCCCAAGGGUUGGGCUGUUCGCCCAUUAAAGUGGUACGCGAGCUGGGUUCAGAACGUCGUGAGACAGUUCGGUCCCUAUCCGUCGCAGGCGUAGGAAAUUUGAGAAGACCUGUCCUUAGUACGAGAGGACCGGGAUGGACGUACCUCUGGUGUACCAGUUGUCCUGCCAAGGGCAUGGCUGGGUAGCUAUGUACGGAAUGGAUAAGCGCUGAAAGCAUCUAAGCGCGAAGCCAACUUCAAGAUAAGAUUUCCCACCGCAAGGGUAAGACCCCAGAAAGACUAUCUGGUUGAUAGGUCGAAGGUGUAAGUGCAGCAAUGUAUUUAGCUUAUCGAUACUAAUAGGUCGAGGACUUGACC